CAGUCGCCGCGGGAAUACGGAGGGUGCAAGCGUUAAUCGGAAUUACUGGGCGUAAAGCGCACGCAGGCGGUCUGUCAAGUCAGAUGUGAAAUCCCCGGGCUUAACCUGGGAACUGCAUUUGAAACUGGCAGGCUAGAGUCUUGUAGAGGGGGGUAGAAUUCCAGGUGUAGCGGUGAAAUGCGUAGAGAUCUGGAGGAAUACCGGUGGCGAAGGCGGCCCCCUGGACAAAGACUGACGCUCAGGUGCAAAAGCGUGGGGAGCAAACAGGAUUAGAUACCCCAGUAGUCCCUGUCUCUUAUAC
Molecule: ribosomal RNA, 301 nt
Filed under: uncultured bacterium
Lineage: Bacteria
Description: partial 16S ribosomal RNA
Rfam family: Bacterial small subunit ribosomal RNA
Source: RNAcentral